ACGGAAGGCAGCAGUGGGGAAUAUUGCACAAUGGGCGAAAGCCUGAUGCAGCGACGCCGCGUGAGUGAAGAAGUAUCUCGGUAUGUAGAGCUCUAUCAGCAGGGAAGAAAAUGACGGUACCUGACUAAGAAGCCCCGGCUAACUACGUGCCAGCAGCCGCGGUAAUACGUAGGGGGCAAGCGUUAUCCGGAUUUACUGGGUGUAAAGGGAGCGUAGACGGUUUGGCAAGUCUGAAGUGAAAUGCGGGGGCUCAACUCCUGAACUGCUUUGGAAACUGUCGAACUAGAGUGCAGGAGAGGUAAGUGGAAUUCCUAGUGUAGCGGUGAAAUGCGUAGAUAUUAGGAGGAACACCAGUGGCGAAGGCGGCUUACUGGACUGUAACUGACGUUGAGGCUCGAAAGCGUGGGGAGCAAACAGGAUUAGAUACCCUGGUA
This 434-nucleotide ribosomal RNA is filed under the name uncultured Clostridium sp. RNAcentral describes it as "partial 16S ribosomal RNA". It matches the Rfam family "Bacterial small subunit ribosomal RNA", at positions 341 to 792 of the family's 1533-position model. Lineage: Bacteria; Bacillati; Bacillota; Clostridia; Eubacteriales; Clostridiaceae. RNAcentral also lists the same sequence under 1 other name. The record is from RNAcentral.